RNAcentral lists this ribosomal RNA (96 nucleotides) under Neotoma lepida (desert woodrat). Lineage: Eukaryota; Metazoa; Chordata; Mammalia; Rodentia; Cricetidae. The record is from RNAcentral.
AGCUAUGGCCAUACCACCCUGAACGCGCCCGAUCUUGUCUGAUCUUGGAAGCUAAGCAGGGUCGGGCCUGGUUACUUGGAUGGGAGACUUUAUUUA